Molecule: ribosomal RNA, 433 nt
Filed under: uncultured bacterium
Lineage: Bacteria
Description: partial 16S ribosomal RNA
Rfam family: Bacterial small subunit ribosomal RNA
Source: RNAcentral
AACGAACGCUGGCGGCAGGCCUAACACAUGCAAGUCGAGCGGACCCUUCGGGGUUAGUGGCGGACGGGUGAGUAACGCGUGGGAAUAUGCCCUUAUCUUCGGAAUAGCUCUGGGAAACUGGGGGUAAUACCGUAUACGCUCUUUGGGGGAAAGAUUUAUCGCGGUAGGAUUAGCCCGCGUUGGAUUAGGUAGUUGGUGGGGUAAUGGCCUACCAAGGCGACGAUCCAUAGCUGGUUUGAGAGGAUGAUCAGCCACACUGGGACUGAGACACGGCCCAGACUCCUACGGGAGACAGCAGUGGGGAAUCUUAGACAAUGGGGGCAACCCUGAUCGAGCCAUGCCGCGUGAGUGAUGAAGGCCUUAGGGUUGUAAAGCUCUUUUAGCUGGGAAGAUAAUGACGGUACCAGCAGAAGAAGCCCCGGCUAACUCCGUG